Molecule: ribosomal RNA, 383 nt
Filed under: uncultured eukaryote
Lineage: Eukaryota
Description: partial 18S ribosomal RNA
Rfam family: Eukaryotic small subunit ribosomal RNA
Source: RNAcentral
CAAUAGCGUAUAUUAAAGUUGUUGCAGUUAAAAAGCUCGUAGUUGGAUUUCUGGUGGGAGCGAUCGGUCUGGCGCUUAGCGCGAGUACUUGCAUCGUCUCCGGCCAUCCUUGGGGAGAGUCUGUCUGGCAUUAAGUUGUCGGGCAGAGGAUCCUCAUCGUUUACUGUGAAAAAAUUAGAGUGUUCAAAGCAGGCUUAUGCCGUUGAAUAUGUUAGCAUGGAAUAAUAAGAUAGGACUUUGGUACUAUUUUGUUGGUUUGCGCACCAAAGUAAUGAUUAACAGGGACAGUUGGGGGUAUUCGUAUUCCGUUGUCAGAGGUGAAAUUCUUGGAUUUACGGAAGACGAACUACUGCGAAAGCAUUUACCAAGGAUGUUUUCAUUAA